UCCGGAUUUACUGGGUGUAAAGGGAGCGUAGACGGUUGUGCAAGUCAGAAGUGAAAGCCACGGGCUCAACCUGUGGCCUGCAUUUGAAACUGUUUUUCUUGAGUACUGGAGAGGCAGACGGAAUUCCUAGUGUAGCGGUGAAAUGCGUAGAUAUUAGGAGGAACACCAGUGGCGAAGGCGGUCUGCUGGACAGCAACUGACGCUGAGGCGCGAAAGCGUGGGGAGCAAACAGG
RNAcentral lists this ribosomal RNA (233 nucleotides) under uncultured bacterium. RNAcentral describes it as "partial 16S ribosomal RNA". It matches the Rfam family "Bacterial small subunit ribosomal RNA", at positions 544 to 776 of the family's 1533-position model. The record is from RNAcentral.